UUUGAUGUGGGAGAAUGCUUAACCCAGGGGCUGCCCUAUGUGUAUCCUCUUGGACCUAUAGUGGCUGAAUGUCCUUUUUGAGAUCCUGCAGCUGUUGACCCUGAGUGGGAGAAUGCCUUAUCCAGGUGUAGUCUUGUGCACACCUUUCCAGACCCAUAGCAGUGGUUUGGUUGCAGAGCUGUGAUUAUAUGGACAUUCUCCACACUUGGUAUACAGCAGUUCAGACAUGCAGCCCCAUUGGAAUGUGCUGAUAGAGAUAUACUUUUAAUUAUUCGGCUUCAUUAUAUUAUGAUUGGAUUUGA
This is a long non-coding RNA of Pseudophryne corroboree (corroboree frog), 302 nucleotides long. RefSeq lists it as uncharacterized. The transcript is spliced from 4 exons. The record is from RefSeq and is a predicted model, not a curated record. Lineage: Eukaryota; Metazoa; Chordata; Amphibia; Anura; Myobatrachidae.